GGGUUGCUGGGGUGAGGGUGGACAAGACGGCUAGUAGAAGAAAAAGUUUUAAAAAUACACUUAGCUUUCUGUUCCGGGCAGUGGUGGCGCACGCCUUUAAUCCCAGCACUUGGGAGGUUGAGUUCGAGGCCAGCCAGGUCUUAGAGAUAUCGUGAACAUCAGUGCAGCAGUUCUGGUCACCUGGAUUUAUAAACACCAAGAAGUAGCAACAGCCAGUGUGCAAGUCACUGACAACCCAAGUCACCAAAAAUCUUACUGAGAACCCAUUAGCUCCUUGAAUUAAAGAUUAUUUUGUGAAAA
RNAcentral lists this long non-coding RNA (300 nucleotides) under Mus musculus (house mouse). RNAcentral's name for it is "RIKEN cDNA 1810041H14 gene, transcript variant 3 (1810041H14Rik)". The record is from RNAcentral. Lineage: Eukaryota; Metazoa; Chordata; Mammalia; Rodentia; Muridae.